GGUGGUUUAGCUCAGUGGUAGAGCACGUGUUUAGUAUGUAUGAAGUCCUCGGUUCAAUCCCCAGUACCUCUA
RNAcentral lists this transfer RNA (72 nucleotides) under Camelus bactrianus (Bactrian camel). It matches the Rfam family "tRNA". From Rfam's summary of the family: Transfer RNA (tRNA) molecules are approximately 80 nucleotides in length. Their secondary structure includes four short double-helical elements and three loops (D, anti-codon, and T loops). RNAcentral also lists the same sequence under 2 other names. Lineage: Eukaryota; Metazoa; Chordata; Mammalia; Artiodactyla; Camelidae. The record is from Rfam by way of RNAcentral.